RNAcentral lists this ribosomal RNA (693 nucleotides) under uncultured cyanobacterium. Its description in RNAcentral is "bacterial SSU rRNA". It matches the Rfam family "Bacterial small subunit ribosomal RNA", at positions 81 to 804 of the family's 1533-position model. Lineage: Bacteria; Bacillati; Cyanobacteriota. The record is from RNAcentral.
UCUUUCGGGAUUUAGUGGCGGACGGGUGAGUAACGCGUGAGAAUCUGCCUUUGGGACUGGGACAACAGUUGGAAACGGCUGCUAAUACCAGAUAUGCCAGAAAGUGAAAAGGGUAAAACCGCCUGAAGAUGAGCUCGCGUCUGAUUAGCUAGUUGGUGGGGUAAGAGCCUACCAAGGCAUCGAUCAGUAACUGGUCUGAGAGGAUGACCAGUCACACUGGGACUGAGACACGGCCCAGACUCCUACGGGAGGCAGCAGUGGGGAAUUUUCCGCAAUGGGCGAAAGCCUGACGGAGCAAUACCGCGUGAGGGAGGAAGGCUCUUGGGUUGUAAACCUCUUUUCUCAGGGAAGAACAAAAUGACGGUACCUGAGGAAUCAGCAUCGGCUAACUCCGUGCCAGCAGCCGCGGUAAUACGGAGGAUGCAAGCGUUAUCCGGAAUGAUUGGGCGUAAAGCGUCCGCAGGUGGCACUGCAAGUCUGCUGUCGAAGGCCGGGGCUUAACCCUGGAAAGGCAGUGGAAACUGCGGGGCUAGAGUAUGGUGGGGGCAGAGGGAAUUCCUGAUGUAGCGGUGAAAUGCGUAGAGAUCAGGAAGAACACCGGUGGCGAAAGCGCUCUGCUAGGCCGAAACUGACACUCAUGGACGAAAGCUAGGGGAGCGAAUGGGAUUAGAUACCCCAGUAGUCCUAGCCGUA